Molecule: ribosomal RNA, 445 nt
Filed under: uncultured bacterium
Lineage: Bacteria
Description: partial 16S ribosomal RNA
Rfam family: Bacterial small subunit ribosomal RNA
Source: RNAcentral
GUGAGGAAUAUUGGUCAAUGGACGAGAGUCUGAACCAGCCAAGUCGCGUGAAGGAAGACGGUUCUAUGAAUUGUAAACUUCUUUUGUGCAGGAAUAAAGUGGGUUACGUGUAACCUUUUGUAUGUACUGUACGAAUAAGGAUCGGCUAACUCCGUGCCAGCAGCCGCGGUAAUACGGAGGAUCCGAGCGUUAUCCGGAUUUAUUGGGUUUAAAGGGUGCGUAGGUGGAUUGAUAAGUCAGCGGUGAAAGGUUGCAGCUUAACUGUAAAAUUGCCUUUGAAACUGUCGGUCUUGAGUGCAAAUGAGGUAGGCGGAAUGUGUUGUGUAGCGGUGAAAUGCUUAGAUAUAACACAGAACUCCGAUUGCGAAGGCAGCUUACUGGGAUGCAACUGACACUGAUGCACGAAAGCGUGGGUAUCAAACAGGAUUAGAAACCCUAGUAGUCC